Molecule: ribosomal RNA, 253 nt
Filed under: uncultured bacterium
Lineage: Bacteria
Description: partial 16S ribosomal RNA
Rfam family: Bacterial small subunit ribosomal RNA
Source: RNAcentral
UACGGGGGGGGCAAGCGUUGUUCGGAAUUACUGGGCGUAAAGGGCUCGUAGGCGGCCAACUAAGUCGGAUGUGAAAUCCCCAGGCUCAACCUGGGAACUGCAUCCGAUACUGGAUGGCUUGAAUUCGGGAGAGGGAUGCAGAAUUCCAGGUGUAGCGGUGAAAUGCGUAGAUAUCUGGAGGAAUACCGGUGGCGAAGGCGGCAUCCUGGACCAACACUGACGCUGAGGAGCGAAAGCCAGGGGAGCAAACGGG